This 482-nucleotide ribosomal RNA is filed under the name uncultured bacterium. RNAcentral's name for it is "partial 16S ribosomal RNA". It matches the Rfam family "Bacterial small subunit ribosomal RNA", at positions 28 to 507 of the family's 1533-position model. The record is from RNAcentral.
GACGAACGUUGGCGGCGUGCUUAAUACAUGCAAGUCAACUGAAGCAGUGGUAGCUAUAUCGCUGUGGAGGUGGCGCACGGGUGAGUAACACGUAGGUAAUCUGCCUUCAGGUCUGGCAUAACUCCGGGAAACCGGGGCUAAUAGCAGAUGAUGCAGCGGCUCGACAUCGAGACAGUUGUUAAAGCUAUGGCGCCUGAAGAUGAGCCUGCGUCUGAUUAGCUAGUUGGCGGGGUAACGGCCCACCAAGGCAACGAUCAGUAGCUGGUCUGAGAGGAUGAUCAGCCACACUGGAACUGAGACACGGUCCAGACUCCUACGGGAGGCAGCAGUAAGGAAUAUUGCUCAAUGGGAGAAAUCCUGAAGCAGCAACGCCGCGUGAGGGACGAAGGGCUUUUGCUUGUAAACCUCUGCAGUGAGAGAAAAAAAAUCCCAAUCUUUGGGACAUGAUGGUAUCUCAAAAGUAAGCCCCGGCUAACUACGUG